Molecule: transfer RNA, 69 nt
Filed under: Odorrana macrotympana
Lineage: Eukaryota; Metazoa; Chordata; Amphibia; Anura; Ranidae
Description: tRNA-Asp
Source: RNAcentral
GAAGGGUUAGUUAAAUCAUAACAUUGCCUUGUCAAGACAAAAUUACUAGUGGGACCCUUGUACCCUUCC